UCUGUGUCUGGCUCCUCCCCCAAUUCUAACCAUGGAGGGUUCAGAAAGGGAAAGUCAGAGAGAAGACUAAACACAGGAUGGAAGACAGCCAUAUCCGUCUGCCUUCUUCAGGCUUUCCAUGGCAACCCGCCUAACCAAGGAAGUGGAAAAGGCCAUCUGAGAUCAAAAUCACAGUUCCCAUUACGAUAAGGAACCGGGAAGGACUCCUGGGUGAAUCGCCAUGCCUGAUUCGGUUGAUUUCAAAGCCAACUUUAGACGAUGUCCUGGGACCUUAUGCUACAGCCCGAUGUGGAACAAAGAGAGUGAAACACAUCAAAUCAAUGCUGGACUUCCUAGAGCUCAUUCUACACAGAAGAUUUGAGAAGAAUGAAAACAUUAAAAGCUGUGACAGGUAAGAAAUAUUUGGGGAGACCUGAGAUGAGGUCAUGCAUUGUGAACAGAGAUGAUUUGGAGAAGAAGGACCCAGCAUCUGAUAGUCUCAGAAGAGUCUUUGCAGGAGAAAGUAAAUAGACCCACUGAGCAGUUCUUUGAAAGCAGUACAUGUAUCUGUUUAACAAGCAGUAUUUGUGAGGAAUUCUGCUAGGUAGGCAGAAUCAUGUAGAUUUUCCAAUAAUAUUUUCAUUAAUUGAAGAAACUCUGUCUCUGAGAAAGAGAGGCUCAAAGACAUUCCAUGAACAGUGUAGGGCAAGUCCCCCAGCACUUGCUCUUGGCUCUGUCCUUACUGAUUUCAUGGUCACAAACAAUUCACUUAACAUCUCUGGGAUUCAGUUUUAUACAUUUAUAAGGUAAGUUAGGAAGGUUAGCAAGUCCCCUUUCUCAUUGUGGAUUUUUGAGACCUCAGAUUGUGUAUAUGCACAUGAUCAUGUGUACAAAUAUAGUUCUUGGCAGAUGUUUGGCAUGUGUGUAUUCAAUACGUUGGUUUGUUAUUGCAUUGCCAGAUGACCUCAAAGGUAAUUCCUGAUGUUUCUAUUCUAUAUUCCCAUUGAGGUAGUGAGCAGAGCACAGGCAUCUUUGAGAAAGACUGUAAUCUCCUUUCAUGAACUAAGUAAGCAUAAGGCUAUUUACAACACUUUCUGUGCCUCAGUUUCCUUGUC
This 1094-nucleotide small RNA is filed under the name Rattus norvegicus (Norway rat). RNAcentral's name for it is "uncharacterized LOC102553326". Lineage: Eukaryota; Metazoa; Chordata; Mammalia; Rodentia; Muridae. The record is from RNAcentral.